Small nuclear RNA from Bison bison bison, 109 nucleotides. The record is from Ensembl. NCBI's taxonomy places the organism in Eukaryota, Metazoa, Chordata, Mammalia, Artiodactyla, Bovidae.
GUGCUCAUUUAGCAAGCAGCACAGAGACUAAAAUUGGAACAGUACAGAGAGGAUUAACAUGACCCAUAUGCAAUGAUGACAUGCAAAUCAUGAAGCAUUCUCUAUUUCA